GGAGUCUAGCAUGUGCGCGAGUCAUUGGGACCGCAAUAAACCUAAAGGCGAAAUGAAAGUGAAGGUCCGCCUCGCGCGGACCGAGGGAGGAUGGGUCGGCCCUCGGGUCGGCCCCGCACUCCCGGGGCGUCUCGUUCUCAUCGCGAGAAGAGGCGCACCUAGAGCGUACACGCUGGGACCCGAAAGAUGGUGAACUAUGCCUGGUCAGGACGAAGUCAGGGGAAACCCUGAUGGAGGUCCGUAGCGAUUCUGACGUGCAAAUCGAUCGUCGGAACUGGGUAUAGGGGCGAAAGACUAAUCGAACCAUCUAGUAGCUGGUUCCCUCCGAAGUUUCCCUCAGGAUAGCUGGCGCUCGCCGCGAGCGAGUCUCAUUCGGUAAAGCGAAUGAUUAGAGGCAUUGGGGUCGAAACGGCCUCAACCUAUUCUCAAACUUUAAAUGGGUGAGAUCUCCGGCUUGCUUGAACUGUGAAGCCGCGAGAUUCGGAUCAGAGUGCCAAGUGGGCCACUUUUGGUAAGCAGAACUGGCGCUGUGGGAUGAACCAAACGUCGAGUUAAAGCGCCAAAAUCGACGCUUAUGGGAUACCAUGAAAGGCGUUGGUAACUUAAGACAGCAGGACGGUGGCCAU
RNAcentral lists this ribosomal RNA (626 nucleotides) under Saprosites catenatus. RNAcentral describes it as "eukaryotic LSU rRNA". It matches the Rfam family "Eukaryotic large subunit ribosomal RNA", at positions 670 to 1255 of the family's 3401-position model. The record is from RNAcentral. Lineage: Eukaryota; Metazoa; Arthropoda; Insecta; Coleoptera; Scarabaeidae.